Molecule: transfer RNA, 80 nt
Filed under: Streptomyces lavendulae subsp. grasserius
Lineage: Bacteria; Bacillati; Actinomycetota; Actinomycetes; Kitasatosporales; Streptomycetaceae
Also listed under: 1 other name
Description: tRNA-Ala
Source: RNAcentral
GCUGCGUAGGCCGAGGGUCGCCACCCUGGCGGGGUGGCGACCCUUCGUCAGGCUCUGGGGAUCGUGAUCUGGCUGCGGCG